UACGUAGGGGGCGAGCGUUGUCCGGAUUUAUUGGGCGUAAAGAGCGUGUAGGCGGCCAGGUAGGUCAGCUGUGAAAACUCGAGGCUCAACCUCGAGAUGUCGGCUGAAACCAUCUGGCUAGGGUCCGGAAGAGGAGAAUGGAAUUCCCGGUGUAGCGGUGAAAUGCGCAGAUAUCGGGAAGAACACCCGUGGCGAAGGCGGUUCUCUGGGACGGUACUGACGCUGAGACGCGAAAGCGUGGGGAGCGAACAGG
Molecule: ribosomal RNA, 253 nt
Filed under: uncultured bacterium
Lineage: Bacteria
Description: partial 16S ribosomal RNA
Rfam family: Bacterial small subunit ribosomal RNA
Source: RNAcentral